AUUGAACGCUGGCGGCGUGCUUAACACAUGCAAGUCGAGCGGUAACAGGUGUAGCAAUACAUGCUGACGAGCGGCGAACGGGUGAGUAAUGCUUCGGAAUCUUCCUAGUAGUGGGGAAUAACCUGGGGAAACUCAGGCUAAUACCGCAUACGACCUACGGGUGAAAGCAGGGGAUCGCAAGACCUUGCGCUAUUAGAUGAGCCGAAGUCGGAUUAGCUAGUUGGUGAGGUAAAGGCUCACCAAGGCGACGAUCCGUAGCUGGUCUGAGAGGACGACCAGCCACACUGGGACUGAGACACGGCCCAGACUCCUACGGGAGGCAGCAGUGGGGAAUAUUGGACAAUGGGGGCAACCCUGAUCCAGCGACGCCGCGUGUGUGAAGAAGGCCUGCGGGUUGUAAAGCACUUUUAGUGGGGAUGAAAAGCCAAGGGCUAAUACCCUUUGGUCUUGACCUAACCCAAAGAAAAAGCACCGGCUAACUCUGUGCCAGCAGCCGCGGUAAAG
Molecule: ribosomal RNA, 504 nt
Filed under: uncultured bacterium
Lineage: Bacteria
Description: bacterial SSU rRNA
Rfam family: Bacterial small subunit ribosomal RNA
Source: RNAcentral